GGCUGGUCCAAAUGCAGUACUGUUUACAACUAAUUAAUCACAACCAGUUACAGAUUUCUUUGUUCCUUCUCUACUCUCAUUUCUUUACUUGAGUAGCCUAAA
Molecule: Y RNA, 102 nt
Filed under: Propithecus coquereli (Coquerel's sifaka)
Lineage: Eukaryota; Metazoa; Chordata; Mammalia; Primates; Indriidae
Description: Y RNA (ENSPCOG00000006421.1)
Rfam family: Y RNA
About the family: Y RNAs are components of the Ro ribonucleoprotein particle (Ro RNP), in association with Ro60 and La proteins. The Y RNAs and Ro60 and La proteins are well conserved, but the function of the Ro RNP is not known.
Source: Rfam by way of RNAcentral